This is a long non-coding RNA of Tachysurus fulvidraco (yellow catfish), 7471 nucleotides long. RefSeq lists it as uncharacterized. The transcript has 4 exons. The record is from RefSeq and is a predicted model, not a curated record. NCBI's taxonomy places the organism in Eukaryota, Metazoa, Chordata, Actinopteri, Siluriformes, Bagridae.
UUUUCAGCGACCGACGACAUUCUGUGUAAAAUUCGCUUACCAGGACUAAUUAGAGUAAUUAAAGCUCGUUUCUUUAUACGUGUAAACACUAAGAGUGAGAAACCGUAAAACACUUUUGUUUUUGUGAUUUGAAAUGUUUUUCUUACUUAUAAUUUUACCAUCAGAGGAUUUUGGAUUUCUGGCGAUUCGUGACAUUGUGUGUGACCUGGGUAUAGAUCAAGAUUCAAGAAUUACAGGCCUUCACAGAUAUCAGUGCAACAGGGGACAACUUUCUUUACCAGGAGACAACAGGAACUGAAGAGAAGUUACAAGUAUACAGGAAAGCCCCACACACCAAUACCUGCUGUUUGAUUCCCAACACCCAGUACCAAUUAGGUGUCAUCAGGAUACUACACCACUGGGCAGAAAGCUGUGGACUGUGUUGAAAUGCAACCAUUUCGACCCAGGAUUUGUAAGCAACAUGUGUUCACUUCUGGAGGGAAUGCUGGCGUGUACUGCUGCCUCUGCUCCCCAUGGUCUGAGUUUGUUUUGACUGUUUGAUUGCUGUUGCCUUUUCUGGUCAUUUUUGACUGCAAGGAUUGAGGACCGUUCAGGUGACCGUUUGUGUCUAACUGGGGAAGUCUGGAAUUCAGUGAUCUCUGCUGGCUGGUCAACCUGACACUUCCAAACACGGCUUCCGACUGCACUCUGUUUUCACAGAGGGAAAUCAGCAACUCCAUUCUAACUAAAGGAUCAACUGGCACUAUUUUAUCCAAAGACUGAAUAAGCAGCUCGGUGAUUCUCUGCACCUAACUGAUUAACCUUGCGCUUCAUAACGUGGCUUUUGAUGACGUUCCAUCUUCUCAGAUUUACCCUGGAGUUUGCAUUCAACAAUGUGGAUUAGCCGACUUUUCAUGUAGAUUAUAUUCUAUUUUAUUCAUCAUCCAGCGACAUCGACAUCCAAUAUACUGCGUUGGAAUUUUUUUCAUUGCGACCCCGUGUCACUGAACCACCACUGACCCUUCGAUUGCACCAGGAUAUUAUUUGCUAUCCUCAGCAGAAGUACAUCCAUCGUGGGUCACAACGGAAUUAUAUCUACGAUGACACUGGUCCAAUCGUUCUGGUCGUCCCCUCUGCGCCCACCAAAGAAAUCAAUACGGGCUGGCCGAUAUCGCCCGGACUACCAGCAUUGAAUCUGCUACGACUGAUCUUACUUUUGGUUUAUUUAGUAUUCACUCGUUAAUAAACAAAGGACCUCUUAUUUAUGAUCAUCUGAAUGACAGUAAGUUUGACUUUUUGUCUCACUGAAACAUGGCAACAAUCCCAUGACUUUUCCCAGCUUAAUCAAUCUGUCCCUCCUUGCUUUACAUACACCUGUCAGCCUCGCAUGUCUGGCUGUGGUGGAGGGCUUGCGAUACUUUAUUAUGAGAAGUGGAAAGCUUCUCUCAUGAGCAUGGCUCUGUAUGAAUCAUUUGAGUCAACAGUUUUACAAAUUAAUGGUCCUGUUCCUACUGUUGUAGCCACUGUUUAUUGCACACCCAGGAGCAAUACUAGUUUUUGUUGUUGUUUUUUUUAGUGAUUUUUCUGUAUUCCUAACUUUACUGAGUUCUACAUCACAAUGUUAUUAUAUUGGGCAAUUUUAAUAUACACAUGGACAAAUGUCAACAAUACUCUCACUAGGGAUUUUUUUUUUCAUGCCUGGACAGUUUUGGAAUACAGCAAUUUGUUGAUCUUCCAACUCGUAGUGAAGGCCAUAUUCUUGACCUUAUUUGUUGUUCUGGUGUAACACCUUCCAAUUGUCAUGCUUCAGUUUUGGCCAUAUCAGAUCAUAAGUUAAUAUCAUUCAGUGUUAACUUUAUGGUUGAAAAAACCAACUUGGGUCGUUCCAUGGGACUGCACAGUGUACUUGAUACAACUGCUGCACCUUAGAUACAAGUAAGGGGUGUCGCCUAGAACGGUUAUACACUAAAACCAGACUUAAUGUUUAUAAAGAUAUGUACACAGAUCAUAUGCUCUCUUAUAAGAACGCUCUUUUAACUGCUAAAUCUGAUUACUUCUCAAAUAUAAUUGGGUUAGGUAACGGGAAUACAAGGUCCUUGUUUAAUACAGUAAAUAAUAUCCUACAGCCUCAUACUUUUCCUUCUCAUCUAUAUUCUAGUGAUCUAUGCGAUAAUUUAAUGACCUUUUUUAAUAAUAAAACUGUAAAUAUUCAACAAUUAACGUCUCAAAAUAAUGUGACAUUUGUUCCGUCAUAUUUACCUUCUCGUGAUUCUCAAUUGUCACUAUUACAGUUUUGAACUUUCUUCUAUUGAUGAAAUAUCAGGUUUUAUCAAACAAUCUAAGUCUUCCACUUGUCAGUUAGAUCCACUUCCCACUCACCUGGUCAAAGCUUGUUUAUCUUCUCUAUCUGGUAUAGUAACUGAUAUUAUACACUCGUCUCUCACCUCUGGUGCGGUUGCUGUAAUCACUCCAAGACUUAAGAAACCAGGAGCUGACUCUAAUAAUUUUGCCCUUUCUCUCAAUUUUGCCCUUGCUUCUCAGGUUCAUUGCCAUCUCUUAAAAAAUAGCCCGUUUGAAAAAUUCCAAUAUGGUUUUCGACCUUUUCAUAGUACAGUGACUGCCAUGGUAAAGGUUGUUAACGAUCUGCUGAUGUACUUAUUCUACUCGAUUUAACGGCGGCCUUUGAUACAAUUUGAUAGAUUACUCUCUGUAGGAAUUACCGGUGUCCCUCUUAGUUGGUUCAGAUCUUUUCUCUCUUGGCACACUCAAUUUGUUCAACUUUAAAAAAAAUUUAGAUCAUAUGUUUCACCUGUUAGUCCCUCUGUUUUUAUUUAUUAUUUAUUUACUACCCCUUGGUAAUAUUUUUAGGAAAUAUUGCAUUAGUUUUCAUUGCUCUGCUGAUGACACCCAGCUUUAUUUGUCCUCUAAACCAAAUUCUACCCUUCUUUCCUCCUCUCUUUGGGCGGCUGGGAAGACAAAUUUUGACCCAGGAAAAACCCUGAGUGUACAAACUGGGAGACUUGCACCCUUGACAGUUUAGCUCCUAAUUCUGAUGGGUGUUUCCUCUUACGGUUAUAGUAAGUAGAUCUUGCCCAGCUGACAGAUGUGCCAGUGCUGUGAUUUGCACGUCUGACUGGCAGGCAAUAUGGGCACUGCCAAAGAGAGCAACGAGGCUGGAACAGUAACCGGUACCUGACCGAAGAGCAUUACAUGAUGUGUGGAGGGGCCCGAAAUAGCAGGGAUGGCUAUGGAGGAAGAGACAGUAGGCGCAGGUCUGGUGAUCCUACGAGAGGCUGGGGUUUUUCUCCCCAACGGCGGCAGGAGCGAAGGUGGAUUAGAUCGGGAGAGUGGCAUAGUUAUGUCGGUCCUUUCCUUCAACAGCUUUGUCCCUGCCAUGCUAGGUGUGGGCACAUAUUGCAUGAGGGGGUAGUCCGGCAGAGGGAGCACUGCUGGCUGGUGUGGUGCUGGAGGUAGCUCUGCGGAAGAGACGGAGGUGGUCUUUGUGAUGGUAAAUGACCAUUUUGUAGCAUGGAGUUUGCAACCACAGCAGUUUCACCAGUACGUACUGAUGUGCCUGUUGUGCUGAGUACCGAUGUCUUGUUGAGCCGGUGCGUAACGCUUAGCCAUCUUGAUCCUCUGGAUGACUGCGGUGGCAACAUCCAUCAUCCCUUUUCGUCCGACAGAAGAGGGUGUUACCCCUGUGGGUCCUGUACAGCUGAUUAAACUUCUGGGGCUGCUUAUCAUGUUCCUGCCUGCAUUCCAGGCCUCAAGGAUUUUGAACCGCUGCUCAGUGGUAAGUGAAAGCUUGUUUUCAGCAAGGCAGAUCUCCUCCAGCAAGGAGCAAAACGUUUCAAGCUUUUGAAAGCCAGGAAGAGGGUUAGGACUGCAGGCAUCCUCCUGUAAAAAAUACAAUUCAGAAUACAGGAGGUUCAAAUGUGUAUGUUGUCUUGUUGUUCUUUAAUGAAUUUUAUAGCAAUUGGCGUAUUGUUUCAUUCUAACAGAAACUAGGCUACUCACAAAUGCCGGUGGGUUUACAGUGGAGGUCAUCGGCCUUGAGAGUGAUGCGAGACGGGGCAACAUCCAGAACGGCAUCUCUUAUCUCCACGUUGCUGUGGUACGCCUCAUCGGCCUCGCUUGUAUCGGGGUGUCCAGGCUGAACUAUCUCCUCGUUGACUAUGUCCUGGAGACAGAAGGGCCCAGAUUCGCCCGUGCCCUGGCUGAAGAGGUACUACAACCCAAGCAGCUCCUCGGGAAUUCACGUCUGCAGGGGCUCGGAAAUUCUCCUCCACGGUUUCUCUGAACAGCUUCCGACACAGACUGUUGAGGCAGUCGAUCAGCGGAGCGGAAUAUACCCUGUGGUGCCGUCCUUUGCCACCAAACGCUGCAUCCGAGCUCCUGUCCUCGUUCCACCGUGCAAUGCCGUUUAUCAGGUAAACCUGAAAGGGCCGAGCUGCACAGAGGGGACUUGAAGGUCACAAAGUGUAUUAGAACAAAUAAUAUCUUUUGUUUAAAAGUAUACAGACAGUAUUUGCGGAAUCCUUCCAGGCUGUUGCUUCCAUUCAGACAUUUGUAAUACGGCACGUCCACAUCGUUGAUGGUCGUGCUACGUGCUACUCUGUACAUGCUCAUGUCUGGUGGAUCCUGGAUGCACUCCAGGCGUCGCUGCUGACUUGCCCACACCUCAUCAAUGGCCUCUAAAUACACAAAGUCCAUAGAUUAAUACAUUGUAUAAUGUUCACUUGGCAUUCCACACCGUCAAAACUGAACUUUAUUUUUUUAUACAAGGUCUUUGACUCCCCAGGUGUUUUGAAGAGGCUCACUCCACUUUUGUCCAGCCCAGCGGGACCUUUCAGCUAUUCUUGACUAGUUAAGUGUAGACAGUUCCGUCCUGUUAUUGGUCCAGAAUCUACAAUUUCAACGAGAUUAAUAUCAUUAGUCGUGGGAGCUUUAGACAGGGCUGUUUGGUGGUGUUACUCACUGUUCCUCGGUUGUGGCAGGCAGAUCCAUAUUGUCCUGCUAAAAUGCAGCUCUCCUAUUUCCCCCAACAGGAUGGACAGUUUGUGAGAGUUGGUCAGUGUCGAUGCGCUGUGUGCACAAUCUCUGCUCUGCAGAGCCAUGAUCUCUUACAGCGGCCCGUCUCUAUGGCCAGUGUGUGUGCACUAAGUCUGUACUUUUCAUCGUGGUUCUGUGUUGUUCAGUCACUGUGCUCAGGUACUCGUACAGUGUACUCUCGAUUUAGGGUCAGAUAAAACUGCAUUAUACUUUGUGCUUGUGUUCUCCAAUGGGGAGAUGUUUUGUUUUUGAAGUGUUUUAAUACAUUAUGAAUAGAAUAAUUUGGUGAGGUUGAAUUUCCCUUGUGUCCAGCUGCUUCUGAUCAGUGUUGGUGUCUGUUCAGGACCAGUCACGUGCAUCAUUUCAGCUGGGUUUUUAUCCCACUGUGUAAGAUUUUGGUUUGUAACUGGUGCCCAGAUCUCAGGUGGAUUUGAUUGUGUAGAAUUCCCUGUGUGAUUUCUCUGUGCUGCUGAGUGGUCACCCUAGACACUCUGCUGUAAUCAUUGGUUGAGUGUCUACAUUCACCUCUUGACUGUAGACUAAUCAUCACACUGCGCAUACAAAGGUGCUAGAUUUUAUGUUAUACCAGCGUUGCUAACUGAUUAUUUGGUUAAAUUAGCUCAAAUUAUGUUUUAUCACUCCCCAUUUUGAACAUUUGAUUUUCAAGUCUAGUCAUUUCUGCCUAACAUAAGAUUGACAGGUAACACUAUGGUGGUUUGAAAAAGACACACCCAUUGCACACCAUCACUUGUACUACUUUACUAUUUAACUGCCUAAGCUCUGUCUAAGCUCGGGUUCUAUAGGCACCAACAUGCAGUACAUUCACAUAAAAUGACUGAAAAGCUGCUACAUAAACAUUCAUUUAAAGAGGGCUUUUCACCACCACAGCUUUUUAUACUUUGGCUUAAACUGUCCAUUUAAAUUUAGCCUUUGACAUUCCUCCUUAAUUUCUGGGUGACCUUUUAUUAAGAAAACAUUUAGCAUUGUUAUAAGUUCAUUAUUACCGGACUAACACUGUGGUCCCCAUCAAAAGGACUGGAACACUGUGUGAAACAUUACCUCGUUUUUAAACGUGCUGCAAAAAAAAAAGACGACUACAUUUAUUACAUAUCAAGUCCCAUGGAUGACUCUCUUCUACACAAAUACUUCAUUUGUCAAGUAUAUGGUCACACUGCUAAUCAUCAGUCUUUGAGAGUCUAUAGUAAGAUUCAACAUGCUCUACAAAUAAAUGUGACUACCAAUCAAAUCUGCACAUAGAACAAAUCAGUGCUGCAUUUUAUUUCUUAUACUGCAGUCUUUUAUUUGAUAUUUGGUUUAUUUAGGAGAAAUUGCAAUUUUACUGCUUGUCAUUUUAAAGGUUUGGUUUGAGUUUCUGCACAACGUAAGAUUUUCUGAUAUCAGUCUCAUUAUGUCUGCUUGGAAAGUCGUUCAGUUUUGCUUUAUUAUUAUUACUGUUAUCGUUGUUGUCAUUAUUAUUUUAAUAUUAAUAUCAUUAGUGUUAUUACUAUGUUUUUUAUUAUCGUUUAUUGCUAUUAAAACAAUGUGUGACCUUGCACACGACUUUAUUUAUUGUUUGCUUGUUAUAUUUACUACUUUUCUAUUCAAAUGCCUCCUAAGAGAGGUUUCUUUAGGCACACAAUACUGUACAUAAUGAAUUUACACAGAAUUGCAUAGCAUUUUUCCAGUAAACAGACAUUGUUCAUAGAGGCCUAUAAGAAAAGUCAGCAUUAGAGUUAAUUGUUGUUGUUUGUUAAUGUAUUAAGUGUAUAUCAGUAGAUUACAACUGAGGAUGGCGACUUCAGUCCGUGUUGCCAACCCAGAUGCCCCUGAAUAUCACCAGCAGGCCAUACUGGUGGCGACCAAAGAGGUUCGCCAGUACAGGGAAAAUAGGAUGGUCUUCCCUACACCUCCACUGGAGUUGCUGAACCACUCGACUGCCCUGACCCAUGCAGAGAAGAUCCUUGUGAAGAAGAGGUGAAAUGCACCUUUUCACUGGCUUGUUUCAAAUGUUGUGGGAUACAUGAAAUACGUAAUUGACAAGCACAGAGCUGAGGUGACAAACAUAAUGCAGUGAUCCUGAACCAGUGGGUGAAAGACUACCUCACUGAAUAUGCAGAGAGCUUCCACAAGUUUUCAUCCUCCUUGAGUCAGUCUGUCUGUUCGGUUGCCUUCUCAAGAUUCUCAACCGACCGACAAGCCCAAUCAGCCUGAUCCAGCCAUCAGGACAGGAAAUGGAAAGACCUAGAGCUGCUCGUCAAGGCUGUGAGAGCCAAGGAUCCGGCAGCCAUGAAAUCUGUGUCUGAUGAGGAUGUCGUCCGGCACUAAUGCCCCUUUUCCACCGAGGCAGUUUGAGUGCUGGUUCAGAGCCAGAGCCUAAUUUAGAACCAGUUCUUUCUGUUUUGACCGCCAAAGCACCGGCUCUGAACCAGGAAAAGUGGUU